CCUACGGUGGCAGCAGUGGGGAAUAUUGGACAAUGGGCGAAAGCCUGAUCCAGCCAUGCCGCGUGUGUGAAGAAGGCCUUCGGGUUGUAAAGCACUUUCAGUGGGGAAGAAAGCCUUGGGGCUAAUACCCUCGAGGAAGGACAUCACCCACAGAAGAAGCACCGGCUAACUCCGUGCCAGCAGCCGCGGUAAUACGGAGGGUGCGAGCGUUAAUCGGAAUUACUGGGCGUAAAGCGCGCGUAGGCGGUCUGAUAAGCCGGUUGUGAAAGCCCCGGGCUCAACCUGGGAACGGCAUCCGGAACUGUCAGGCUAGAGUGCAGGAGAGGAAGGUAGAAUUCCCGGUGUAGCGGUGAAAUGCGUAGAGAUCGGGAGGAAUACCAGUGGCGAAGGCGGCCUUCUGGACUGACACUGACGCUGAGGUGCGAAAGCGUGGGUAGCAAACAGGAUUAGAUACCCGGGUAGUC
RNAcentral lists this ribosomal RNA (464 nucleotides) under Vreelandella stevensii. Its description in RNAcentral is "partial 16S ribosomal RNA". It matches the Rfam family "Bacterial small subunit ribosomal RNA", at positions 338 to 795 of the family's 1533-position model. Lineage: Bacteria; Pseudomonadati; Pseudomonadota; Gammaproteobacteria; Oceanospirillales; Halomonadaceae. The record is from RNAcentral.